MicroRNA precursor from Betta splendens (Siamese fighting fish), 86 nucleotides. Ensembl annotates it as microRNA 199b. Its record names the gene mir199-3a. The record is from Ensembl. Lineage: Eukaryota; Metazoa; Chordata; Actinopteri; Anabantiformes; Osphronemidae.
CCGGCUCCGUCCACCCAGUGUUCAGACUACCUGUUCAUUGUCAUACUGGUGUACAGUAGUCUGCACAUUGGUUAGACUGGGCACGG